Molecule: ribosomal RNA, 254 nt
Filed under: uncultured bacterium
Lineage: Bacteria
Description: partial 16S ribosomal RNA
Rfam family: Bacterial small subunit ribosomal RNA
Source: RNAcentral
UACAGAGGGGGCCAGCGUUAUUCGGAAUUAUUGGGCGUAAAGGGCGCGUAGGCGGCCAUGCGUGUCUUCCGUGAAAUCCCUCGGCUUAACCGAGGACGUGCGGAAGAAAACUGCAAGGCUCGAGUCCGGAAGAGGGGGGCGGAAUUCCCAGUGUAGCGGUGAAAUGCGUAGAUAUUGGGAGGAACACCAGUGGCGAAGGCGGUCCCCUGGGCCGGAACUGACGCUGAGGAGCGAAAGCGUGGGGAGCGAACAGG